RNAcentral lists this long non-coding RNA (2355 nucleotides) under Chinchilla lanigera (long-tailed chinchilla). RNAcentral's name for it is "lncRNA (ENSCLAG00000025565.1)". Lineage: Eukaryota; Metazoa; Chordata; Mammalia; Rodentia; Chinchillidae. The record is from RNAcentral.
AUGUCACAGACAGGAAGGAACAUGAAGAAUAGAAGGUGGCCUCCUGCGGAAAACACAGGAGAACAUGCAGGAGGGAGGCAGCGAGAGAAGCUUGCUGAGCAUGAGUACAUCCAGCAUCGAGGCCAACAGAAGAGGAGAGGAAUGAAUUCAGUGAAUUGUUACCCACCUAGCAAAGUUACAAAGUCAACCAUUUUCCAUGUGUUUGAAGCUGAUGGAGGGAGGCAAGCUAGUGACAGGAUCAUUUUCACUCUGGGAGCUCUGAGGAAGCUGGAUGACGGGGGCCACCCACUUGGCUGACCUAUGAGGAAGCAGCUGUGUGAGAAGCUUCCCACUGAUCUUUUUAUUUAUUUUUGUUCUUUUUGAUUUUUUAACUUUUUAUUAGUAUGUAUUUGUCAUACAUACUGAUCACAUUCAUCAUAGGGAAUUUGAACCAUACAUAAAAUAUCUUAAUUCCUCUUUUUUUUUUCCCAUGCCAAUAAUCUUUUCAGAAAUUUAACUUCUUUUCCUUCCUAGGUAUCUUCCCCAAAGGGUUAAAAUCAACAUAUUACCGGGAUACAUACAUACUUAUGUUUGUAGCAGCACAAUUUAUAAUAGCUAGAUCUUGGAAAUAGGGUUAAUGUCCAUUAAAAGAUAAAUAGAUGAAGAAAAUGAUAUGUGUACUCAGUGGAGUACUAUGCUGCCAUAAAGGAAGAUAAAUUUGAGGCAUGCAUAGGUAAAUGGAUGCAACUUAAGAACUUAAUGUUAAGUGAAAUAAAUCAUAUAUACAAGCUCAAAUAUCACAUGGUUUCUCUUGUAUAAGAAUUACAAAUAAAGAAUAAAAUAGAAGAAAAAUAAAUAGGAAAUAGGAAGUUCAAAUACUUCCCCAAGUUAUAAAUUCCAUUGUUUUAAAAGUGUUUCAAUAUAUAUGCUAAUUGGUUUCAUUUGUACUACUAGUUUAUCUCUUUUUGGUUUAUGUCUUAUACUCUGAGUAACUACUUUGGAGAAAGUGAUACAAAGUGUAAUAACUGUUGCUCUUCCCUUAUUUGAUUAUGAAAUUUUUUUCAUAAAAUAAAGUUUUUCUAAAAAAGAAAUUUAACUUCUGAAUUUCCCGUCUCUUUCCUUUUUGUACAAAAAAAUGAAAGUGCUUUUCUAUUUGUGAUUGUAGGUUAUCAUAGACAAAUAUCUAAUAAAUAGGUAUUUGUCUAUGAACUAAAAUGAUAGUUCAGAAUAUUAAGACCACUUUCAUAUAAUGUAUGAGAUGUAUUAAAUAGCUGCAAAAGCCUGGUUUUGGGAUACAUGACAAUGCUGUCCAGAGUAGAAAAUAAUAUUAAACAACUUUUUCUCUUCUGAAUUUCUUAGGGGAUCAUCAAACUGUAAGUUUUUCUAAGUUAAGACUUUUGAAUUAAUGAAAUUGUCUACAGCCUAAUAUAAACCUAGUGUGUUCCUAUUGAAGAUGUAUACUUAGCCUGUGAAAUAUAUUAAAAUGUCUUAACUAAUUUUUAAAGCUUGUUUUCUCAUUAUGUGAAUUCUUUUCAAGUGAAGCCUCUUAGAGGAGGGAAAUCUAGAAAAUAAAUGAUGCACUUGGAAAUCUUUUCUGAUGGGUUAUUCUUUUAUAUAAUUAUGUUCUUCAUGCUAUCACAAGCACCUGUGCUUUCAACUUUAAAACCCUUCAUUUUCUAAUUUGUGUCUAAGGUAUGUUCUAUUAAAUAUUAUUUGAAAGCUAAGCAUGUGCUACAGAUUUAAUGGAUCUGAACAGAAGGAGAACACAGUUUAAUUUUUCAGUUGCAUUCCCGUGAUAAACACAGAGAAAGCCAGUAAUUUGGUAAAUACAAUAAUGUCUACAUGGGCAUAAAAAAGUAUAUUAUACCAAUAAAGGGUAUGGGACUAUUUAUAUAAUGGACAAGAUGUGCUUCUAGAGCUUUCUCCUUGGAAUAAGUCUACCGUGGUGCUGUGGUGUACACAGGUUUUAAGUAAAACUCACCAUCUCUAACUUUGCGAUAGAAAGACAUUUUUGCAAUAGCACCACAAAAUGGGAAGUGGGCAAUUCAUUUCUGCUUUUAAACAUAAAAAUACAGGAAAUGAAACAUAACUAGCAUCUUUUCCUAUUUCCAGUAUGUUUAUAAGAUGGUCUGACCAUAACAAGAUAUUUUUACAAACAUCAGACCUCUCCUACAAUUUUCUCAUGGCUAUAGUUAUUACAUAUGCCUUCCCUUUGAGGAAAUCAAGAAUGGUAGUAGGCGGUUUAUCGGUAAAAUUUUCUCUUCUCUCUGACCUUCAAAGCUGUUUGAGAAAGUAUGUGGGAAGGGUGAAAAAAGAAUUAAAGUGUUUACGUACGUGUACCAACUCCCCAUGAGGAAUAUAAUCAUUAUGUAGUGC